RNAcentral lists this long non-coding RNA (3429 nucleotides) under Ceratitis capitata (Mediterranean fruit fly). Its description in RNAcentral is "uncharacterized LOC110118224". Lineage: Eukaryota; Metazoa; Arthropoda; Insecta; Diptera; Tephritidae. The record is from RNAcentral.
AUGUACAUGAUAAAGCUAACCGCGCGCGUUGUGCCGCUACUGGAUACUCUCGACUAUAAGUGUGCAGCAGUGUGAUAACUUCAAAGGAGUGUUUGUGGAUGCUGAGCCAUCUGAGCUGAAUGAAAUUUUGCGUACUUUCGUUAUCGUAAACAAAAAACGUAUUCAAACUGCCACACCAAAAACCAAAGAACAAUCAAUUCAAGUGUGUUACAUUGAUUUUUAAGUGCACCAAAGUGAACAUAGUUCGGUAUGUUGAGCAACAAAGGCUUGGCCAUAGUUUUUUUGAGCAUGCACGAGGUAUGAUGCACAAUUGUUACUUUAAAAAGGGGAAAACGGUGGCCGAGCAAUAUUACUCAGUACCAAAGAUCGUAUUUGAAGAAGAUAAAAGCGCUGAUCUCCAUUGUAAAAACCCACUGCUGGCUGCGGAUGGAGACAUAAAAAUGAAAAUUUGAAAAUUUGCCUACGAAUAGCUACUCAUCCAGCCUGCUUUCCAAAGUCAGCUCCCUCGAACUACUUCUUGUUUCCAAACCUGCAAAAAUCACUAGGCUUGAAAAGAUUCCUAUCAAAAAAAGAGGACAACGCUGAAACAAGUACCUAUUUUACAGGCGGCCUUAAUAAUCUAUUAUUUGAACGGAAAUUUGCUCGAUAUACGAUUUUCACUAUGUUGAGAAACAAAAGUCUCAGGGAAGCAGUGUAUGGAGCGCCUGCAUUGAGGAAAUUGUUUAUGAGACUACUACUGCGUUUCGAGAUAAAAUUGGAGUGGCUUAAGGAUCUGCCGGACCGCCAUAGUCACAAUAAUGGCAACUAAGAAGUAUACAAUAUGUCACACAUAACCUGCCGUUGUUGUUUAUGUUGUCGUAGCUGCAAAUUAUUUCCCGAUUUGGUUUUCGGGGAAUAUUAUGGAGCGACAGUCCUUGGGCGGAUAAAAAUCUAGGUCGUUCCGGUAUAAGCACCCGACUGUUGCGGGAAGUAUUGGGUUUUAGUCGCCUUUUACGACAGGCCUGCCUUAUCACGCGUAAAUUCUUGAGCCCCUAACCUGCAGGAGGUUGUGUCAAAUCGUCAUUGCUAAGAGUGUACAUGCAGAAAAUAUCUUCUCCGCACUUAUAAAGAGCAAGGCUCAGAUAUUUAGAUGCUACUACAAAGGAGUAGCAGCCUAUCAGUGCAACCUAACCUAACUUAGCCUUAAACCCACCAACUAACCACAAUAUCCUCACGCAAUGUGCGGCGCUCUCAAUUCGUAGAUGAGUUAAUUUCUCGAAAGAAAGCUCCAUAUUUGUGACCAACAUUUGUCUUUAAACUCUUAAAUCUUCAACAUUGUUUGUUGGCAUACUUUUUGUGCGCCCCACAGCUGGGCAACCGCUUAAAUUCGACACUCAAGUAUUGUCUUGGCCUACAUUCGCUCAAACGAGUAAUCAUUAAUUACAAAUUAACGCCGACUUUGAUGGCGAGCGACACAAGUACGCAGGCGGGCAUUGAAGUCUACAAAUUACAGACAUACGAAUGCAGAUGUACAUAGAUAUGUACAUAGAUAGCGAGUGAGCUAAGCGAUGCUGCGCUUACAAAAUGACACAAAUAGCACUUAGCAGAUUACAAAAUUACCGUUAUGGGAAUAUUAUCCUCACAGCCUCUCAGCCUUACACCAAGCACCAUCGUUUACAUAACCUCAAACUCAAGCCGUGGGCGACAAGUGCAUGCGCUUAGUGCGCGUUUGACAUAUUCAAGUGCCACUUAAUUAAUCCCAAAACGCUAAUUUUAACUGAGGCAAAAUAUGUAUGUGUGUCGCGCGAUGUCAAGCAGCGUAUGCUCGCAAGUUUAUUUUACAUGCUUGAAUGGGCAUGUAUGCCUGUGUGUGUGCGUGUGAGUGUGCAAGACAAUGCGUGUGGGCCUGCAGCUCUCGUCGAGGUGACUCUUUAAUAAUGCGCAAAAUUCGACUUUACCACCUUUGGAUGAUAUCAAAUGAAAAUUUUCGCACGUAAACUUCUUACCGCUAAUUUCGCGGCGCAGCGUUGCAUUUUACAUACAAACUACUUUUACAUAUAUUCGUCUGUGUAUACCUGUACAUGAGAAUAUUGUUAAUGAGUUUUGGAAGUUUAGCUAUUUAAACAUUUUAGAAGUCAAAAAAUUCAGCCUUAGUUUGCAGAGAAAAUUCAUAAUAUAAAUACGAGUACAUUUAGAUAUGUAUGUAUGUAUGUAAGUGCUUAGUGAAAAAUUUUCCUCAGUUUUACUUGCUUCUCGAUGUCAACAAAAUUCCAAUUGUUUUUUUUUUAUUUCUAAUAAACUCAACAAUAAAAAUAAAAUAAAAUAAAAAUACUUUAUGAAAAUAAUCAGCAAAACCUCUUUUUGUUUGGAGUCGUCUCUUAAAUACUCGUCUAUUUCCGCGAGAUUUUGGAGCAUAUAUCAGAGACAUGAUGCUCAAAACUCUUUAAAAUCAUUUGAUUUUAUAUGGACACCAAACUGCCAACAAGCAUUUUCACACUAGACAAUCAAAUAUUACAAGAGCAGUUUGAGAGGCUUGUGCUUUUUGUGUAAAUAUACAUAAAUGCGACACUGCUCACGUCAGCUAGUUUGCGUUUGACAGCCAAAGAAAAAAGUGAAAUACCUCAUGGAUUUUAACAAAAAAUGGGGAAAAGUGAAAUAAUGUGGAAUAUUGAACAAAAGCAGUAUUGCACAUUGAUUAUUCCUGACGUAAAUAGCAAGAUCUUCAACUAAGCUUCCAUACACAUUGAUUUCCACUAAAUAUUAAACCACGAAAGUCAAUGUAAUCUUCUUUUCACCACUUGGUUUUGUAUGGUUUAAGAUGUGACGGGGCAUAGGUUUAUGGAUAGUACUUCGAAACUAUUACUCAAUUACAGAAGAGGAUGCAUUCUAGCUCGCCAUGGGUUAAAAAAGCGCAUUCGCAUGUGAAGUUUAUGCUCACUGUGUACAUCGAUUUCAAUGGCAUAGUGCGUCAUGAAGUCCUACCAGAUGAAACAGUCAAAAAGGAGUACUAUAAGUUCAAUGACAUUUACGUGAAACAAUCCAAAAAAAAAAAAACGCCUGAAAAACAAGCUCAUGGCAUUUGCAUUAUGAUAAUACGGUUGUUCAAAUUUCAUUGCUUGACUUGACUUUUUGGAAAAAAAUACAAUAAAAUGAGCCAGCCUUCAAAUUCGUUUGAUUUAACUCCGUGUGACUUUUUCCUAGUUCCAAAAAAAAAGGAGAAUCUUAAGGAUGUUUCGGAGAUUGAAAGAAAAGCUGGAAAUAUAUUAUAUAAUAUCUUCCUGAGAACAUUUUGGAGGCAACAACAGCAAAUUUUGACGAAUAAUAAAGUGUUUUAUUUAAAAAAAUUGAAUUUUAACUUUUGACUUAUAAACUUAUACAAAGAUUCAUUACUAACAAUCGAAAAUUGAACAUAGAAAUAUUACAAAUCUGCGCUUCUCUGGUUCUUUCUCU